UGGUUGUUGAAACUCCCUGGGCCACUGAAUUUUCAUAUUUCUUUUCUUUUUUUGUAGAGAGCUGACUUUAGAGAGAUCAAGAAUAGCUUGCUGGAUGGAAGGAGAGGAAAAAAACAGAGACCUAGAGCUUUUAAGUGACUUGUUCAAGAUACAGUUUGUUCAUGGAAGAAUUACGACUGGAACUUGGGUCAGCUGAGCACUGCUAAGGCCAGGUUUACAGGUAGAGAACGGCCUUUAGUUUUGUAAAAUAUGCCUUAACGUAUUCACUGUCCAGAACAUUUCAAGGUAUAUGCUGAGUUUUUGUAAGUCACUAGCAUUGGAAUAAAAGGAGAGAAAUGAAGUGGAACAGAACAGAGGAAAAAGGGAGAAGGAAAGGGAACAGCUUCUCAGUGAGGAAGA
RNAcentral lists this long non-coding RNA (399 nucleotides) under Callithrix jacchus (white-tufted-ear marmoset). RNAcentral describes it as "lncRNA (ENSCJAG00000082449.1)". Lineage: Eukaryota; Metazoa; Chordata; Mammalia; Primates; Cebidae. The record is from RNAcentral.